GCGCGUGAAAUACUAUACAAACCGGUCAUGUAUUCCCAGACGCUGAAUCGAGGGUACAAGCAAGGAUUUACCUGACGUGAAGUUGUUUGAACGCCUAAUGUGCCGCAGCGCGACUUCAGAGAAAUUGAGCAACUCCUCUACCUCCACAGGGUCAGUGUCGAGCUCGUAACCUCGUUGUGCUGACGACGCGUCGGAGUCGACAUACGACUCAUCGGUGGAGCUAGGGCUCGCGCCGGGCGACUGUUCAGGGGCUGGACUGGUAGCACGCGGUUGUGUCUGGGCGGCGCCUUCUGAGGUCGCGGAAACGGCUUCAGCCGCGGUGGUCACCGGGACAUCGGCGUUUGGAGGCGGAGCCGCGUUUCUUUCUUGGUGCCAUGGUGGUGAGUAGUGGUAUUGCGGCUGUGCGGUGGGGGUGAUGGUGGAAAAUGAGAGCGGGAAGGCGGGAAAGUGAUAGUCGCAGCUGCAGAUAGAG
RNAcentral lists this long non-coding RNA (472 nucleotides) under Salvia miltiorrhiza (redroot sage). Its description in RNAcentral is "long non-coding RNA (SMIL_LNC000130)". Lineage: Eukaryota; Viridiplantae; Streptophyta; Magnoliopsida; Lamiales; Lamiaceae. The record is from RNAcentral.